GGUGACUCAGUGGUAGAGCACUUGCCUUGCAAGCAUGAGGCCCUGGGUUCAAUUCCUCAGCACCA
This 65-nucleotide transfer RNA is filed under the name Dipodomys ordii (Ord's kangaroo rat). It matches the Rfam family "tRNA". From Rfam's summary of the family: Transfer RNA (tRNA) molecules are approximately 80 nucleotides in length. Their secondary structure includes four short double-helical elements and three loops (D, anti-codon, and T loops). The record is from Rfam by way of RNAcentral. Lineage: Eukaryota; Metazoa; Chordata; Mammalia; Rodentia; Heteromyidae.